AGCAGCCGCGGUAAUUCCAGCUCCAAUAGCGUAUAUUAAAGUUGUUGCAGUUAAAAAGCUCGUAGUUGAAUUUCGGGGUUAGUAGGUUGGUCAUGCCUCUGGUAUGUACUGGUCUCACUGAUUCCUCCUUCCUGAUGAGCCGUAAUGCCAUUAAUUUGGUGUUGCGGGGAAUUUGGACUGUUACUUUGAAAAAAUUUAGAGUGUUUAAAGCAGGCUCACGCUUGAAUACAUUAGCAUGGAAUAAUGAAAUAGGACGUUUGAUUCUAUUUUGUUGGUUUCUAGGAUCGACGUAAUGAUUAAUAGGGAUAGUUGGGGGCAUUAGUAUUCAAUUGUCAGAGGUGAAAUUCUUGGAUUUAUUGAAGACUAACUACUGCGAAAGCAUUUGCCAAGGAUGUUUUCAUUAAUCAAGAACGAAAGUUAGGGGAUCGAAGACGAUCAGAUACCGUCGUAGUCUUAACCAUAAACUAUGCCGACUAGGGAUCGGAUGAUGUUAAUUUUUUAAUGACUCAUUCGGCGCCUU
RNAcentral lists this ribosomal RNA (520 nucleotides) under uncultured Glomus. Its description in RNAcentral is "SSU rRNA". It matches the Rfam family "Eukaryotic small subunit ribosomal RNA", at positions 569 to 1089 of the family's 1831-position model. Lineage: Eukaryota; Fungi; Glomeromycota; Glomeromycetes; Glomerales; Glomeraceae. The record is from RNAcentral.